This 246-nucleotide ribosomal RNA is filed under the name uncultured Lactobacillus sp. RNAcentral describes it as "partial 16S ribosomal RNA". It matches the Rfam family "Bacterial small subunit ribosomal RNA", at positions 116 to 355 of the family's 1533-position model. Lineage: Bacteria; Bacillati; Bacillota; Bacilli; Lactobacillales; Lactobacillaceae. The record is from RNAcentral.
CGUGGGUAACCUGCCCAAGAGAUCGGGAUAACACCUGGAAACAGAUGCUAAUACCGGAUAACAACAGAUGAUGCCAAUCAACUGUUUAAAAGAUGGUUCUGCUAUCACUCUUGGAUGGACCUGCGGUGCAUUAGCUAGUUGGUAGGGUAACGGCCUACCAAGGCGAUGAUGCAUAGCCGAGUUGAGAGACUUAUCGGCCACAUUGGGACUGAGACACGGCCCAAACUCCUACGGGAGGCAGCAGCC